Oncorhynchus mykiss (rainbow trout) is the source of this 905-nucleotide non-coding RNA. Lineage: Eukaryota; Metazoa; Chordata; Actinopteri; Salmoniformes; Salmonidae. The record is from RefSeq and is a predicted model, not a curated record.
CCUGGUGGUCAUCAAGAGCCAAGAACAACAGACAUUAGUCAAUUGGUUAUGUGGACGAAAUAACUAUGUCUGGAUUGGUCUGACUGACUCUGUUUCUGAGGGGACCUGGAAAUGGGUGGACGACACACCACUGACCAGAAAGUAUUGGAAACGUGGAGAGCCUAAUGGUGGAGCAGCAGAGAACUGUGUGUAUUUCUACUCCUGGUCAUCAGACACAGGAGAAUGGUGGGACUAUUACUAUUACUAUAAAUUCAGAUGGAUCUGUGAGAAAUAGGAUUCAUCCUCGGUACUCUCUGAACUGCUAAAUAAGAUUAUGCUAAGUACUAUCAAUGAGAAACUAUUUCCUGCUUAUUCAUUUACCUUGUCAACUACAUACAAUAUAUAACAAUACAAAUGUAGAAUACAUUAUAAUAAAACUAUAUGCAAUAACACAAUGACUUGAUAAGAGAAGGACUGUUCUGUCUGUUGUUGAGGAAAUUCACCACGAAGGACUCAAAUUCAAAGGAAAUGAAUCAAUAUUUAUUAUCACAGUCAGAGGUUCACUGACUCAAUACAAUCCUGAUGUUCAUUUUUCUUAUUUUUACUUUUUAGUUUAGUCUACUUGCUAAAUAUUUGUCUUAACUCUUCCCGAACUGCACUGUUGGUUAAGGGCUUGUAAGUCAGCAUUUCACGGUAAAGUCUACACUUGUUGUAUUCGUGGCAUGUGACAAAUAAAGUUUGAUUUGAUUUUAAGUCAUAUAAGCACGGUUGGUUCCUGCAUGAGACUGACUGAUACCACACCAGGCUUCUUACCUUGAAACUGAGAUACUCCUUUUGGUUCCCAGAGCAAUGUUCUGGGUGUACUGGGAAAAUGCUUGUACAGUGAGUGUAAGGGAUGUCGUCCUCCUCUUCUGAGGAGGAGUAGC